GGCAGGCGGGAAGUGCUCUAGCAGGGGAGUCUGACCUUGUGAGGGAAUACCUGUGUCCCCCCUUUUUUCCCCUUUUUACCCAAUAAAACCCUGCCUUACUCACCCUUUAAAUCAUCUGCGAGCCUGAAUUUUCAUGGCCGUGGGACGGACAAGAACUUUAUCUUCAGCUGAACUAAGAAAAAGUCCUGCAACAUUUUUGGCGCGCAAUGUGGGGGCACCAGAAGCGGGCACCGUUGAGCUGUUGCAACUGUUCUGCUGAUUUCUAUCAUGGAAAAUAUCCCUGCAAGCAGUAACCACUAUUUGAAUGGUGAAAUCAGCAGCACAGCAAACAUGGUUCUUAAUGAGGUGAGACCUGUUGCCUCCUUAGUCUUAUAAGAAAUAUUUAUGCACAUACAUAUUUUAAAUGUUAGGAAAGACUGUGUGUAAAAGGCAUAUUGACUCCACCUUUUACAGAUUGGAAAGAUUGGUGCAAUUCUGUUCCAACAUAUUACUUUUUCAAAGGAUCAUUUUAUAGCCAUUUUCUUUUUCUAUUACUUCAUUAUUCUUGCUUCUUUAUUUAGACUCUUUGCCAUGCAAAUAUUAUUUAAGCCUUGCUCAGCUAAUGUAGUGAUUUUUAAAUGUUUUAAUGUUCCAUUUGACAUUCCCGCUGGUCCCAUUUCUUGUGCUGAAAAUGUAUUAAUUCCCAUAUCAAUAUAUAUGUAUAUACAUUUUUUGCCCAUCAGAGGUACAAAAAGAUAUUUUCUGUGCAUACAUUAGAGAAGUUAUUACAGGUAGAUGAUAGAAGAAGAGAGAGAAAGCAGGGAGAUAAAAAGGCAAAUAAGAAAUUGAGAAAAAUAUAAACCAAAAGCAAAUGAAAGUUAGAAUUUCAAAAUAUGGAAAAAGCAAGAAA
Long non-coding RNA from Homo sapiens (human), 889 nucleotides. Ensembl annotates it as MIR924 host gene. Its record names the gene MIR924HG. The record is from Ensembl. NCBI's taxonomy places the organism in Eukaryota, Metazoa, Chordata, Mammalia, Primates, Hominidae.